CGGCAGGGGAGCGGGAGGCAGAGGGGAGGAUAGGCAAACUGCGUAGCAGGGCUAGGUAGGUUUCCAUGCUAAGCACAGCAAUUGCGCACGGUCCCUUACGUAACUGUCAGCUGGGGAUUCCCUAGAGGGGGUCACUUUAUUCAACCAUUACACAGACCCCGGCCGCCGCUCCAGCGCGCCUGGGCUGCCGUUGCCGCCGCUACUGAGGCUGCGGCUCCAGCUAGCGCAGCGGCUCCUCACAAAAUGGCGGCGCCCAUGGAAGCGGCAGCCCCAUUUUGUGCCCGGCAGAGCCUGUCAACAAAACGCCGACUUGGCCAAGGCUGAGGAACAGAAGGCGGCGGCUCGUUCGCAUUACAGAGAGCGGAGGGAGGAGAGCGAAGGAUUUCACCGCCCUCCCGCCGCCGAGAGGAGACUUUCUAUAAAGUUGCGUGCCUUAUGAAUAAACCGGCUAUUAGGCUGAUGCUUCAAGUAACACUAUCCAGCACCAAGAUGAGAGUUACAAAGCAGAGGAUGAGGCACUUGGGGGUGGAACAGUCCUCGGUUCAACUGCAGUUACAGCAUCUCACUUCAGACCACCUGGAACAGUUUGAUCAGCUAACUGGAUGUCCUGGAAAAACUCUCAAAUGACUUCAGUUCGAUGUUCUCUGCUCAAGGGGUUCUGGUGGUUUCACAGCUAACAAAGGCUUGUUGUACUUUCAGCCUGUAUACCACAGAACGCUGCACUGCUACUGAAGACCUAAAAUUUGAAGUCUGUGGUCCUCAGGGUUGGAGGGAAGUUGAACCUAAAGAGAAGCUGCCAUGUUUGCUGGAUAUGUUAAAGACUGGGCUUUGGAGUUUUUCUCAGUCAUUAAGAAUCACAAGAAAGGAACAUGGGACAUCUAUAUGUAAAUGUGUAUACAUAUACAUUUCUAUUUUUUCUAUAAAAUUUCUAUGCAUAAGUUUUAAGAUAUAUACAUAUAUGAAAUGAAUUUCACAUCUAAAGCAGUGCAAAUGCAGGAUGUUGCUGGAGUGGCUGUCCUUUCCCUACCUCUUCAUACAGAUGAGAGAAAAGACCCAUACCAGAGACUUGUUUGGUAAAAUUACUGUUUUCAAUGAACAUAUACUGGUUAAAAUUGAAUUUCAGCACUGCGUUGUCUCCCCUUGACUCUCAGUACUGCUGUCUUCCUGUAAACCCAUGGGUUUUAAUUUCUGGUAAGCCUCAGCCUUUGUUUCUGACACAUUUUAGCUUUUACAGCUCCUGCUUCCUCUACUUCUCUGCAACCCUUUGGAGCUGGAGCUACAACAUGUCAGUUUGGAGCUUAAGGAUUUCCCCAGAAGUACAGAGGGAAGAGUGAAAUUGAAAUUUACCCUAAAUUAUGAUUUUUAUAGUCUAAAUGGUAAACGUAAGCAACUGAAAGUUAAGUGUAGACUUUACCUGCUCAUUUUCAAUUAGAAAGCUUCCCCUGCCAUGUCAGUCCUGUCAAGCCUAUGCCACACUUUAGAGAAGCAAGAGGAGAGGGAGCUCUUAACAGCUCACAGUGGAAGUCUCAUUGAUGGAACGGAGUUGGGCUGGGAGCCCAAGUUAAUCCAACAACAUCAGUCUACCACCUCCACUGUCUUCCUUCAGCAGCUAGAGAUCUGACCUCUGCAGAACAACCCUGCUGUGUACCAGCAGAGCCCAACUCCUCCUCAUGUGUUACAGUCCCAGCACAGGAGUGGCACUUGCAUUGCUUGAAAGCUUUGGGAGGCUCCAGAAUGGCAAGUCAAAUGCCUCUGCGUAUGAAGUAAGAAGAUAUGGCAUGCAGGUUACACUUUGGGACAGGCUCAGAGUAGUCAAAAUGAACUAAGUUCAUGUUCUUCAGUGUAGAACGUUAUUUACCACAAUAAAAAAUUAUAAAAGCAAAAAUCUGUGUUUAUU
Apteryx owenii (little spotted kiwi) is the source of this 1897-nucleotide long non-coding RNA. NCBI's taxonomy places the organism in Eukaryota, Metazoa, Chordata, Aves, Apterygiformes, Apterygidae. The record is from Ensembl.